RNAcentral lists this ribosomal RNA (253 nucleotides) under uncultured bacterium. Its description in RNAcentral is "partial 16S ribosomal RNA". It matches the Rfam family "Bacterial small subunit ribosomal RNA", at positions 524 to 776 of the family's 1533-position model. The record is from RNAcentral.
UACGUAGGGUGCAGGCGUUAAUCGGAAUUACUGGGCGUAAAGCGUGCGCAGGCGGUUUCUUAAGUCAGAUGUGAAAGCCCCGGGCUUAACCUGGGAACUGCGUUUGAAACUGGGAGACUUGAGUGUGGCAGAGGGGGGUGGAAUUCCACGUGUAGCAGUGAAAUGCGCAGAUAUCAGGAGGAACACCGGUGGCGAAGGCGGAUCUCUGGGCCUUACCUGACGCUCAGGCACGAAAGCUAGGGGAGCGAACAGG